RNAcentral lists this ribosomal RNA (491 nucleotides) under uncultured bacterium. Its description in RNAcentral is "partial 16S ribosomal RNA". It matches the Rfam family "Bacterial small subunit ribosomal RNA", at positions 29 to 507 of the family's 1533-position model. The record is from RNAcentral.
GUGAACGCUGGCGGUAGGCCUAACACAUGCAAGUCGAACGGCAGCACAGUAAGAGCUUGCUCUUACGGGUGGCGAGUGGCGGACGGGUGAGGAAUACAUCGGAAUCUACUUUUUCGUGGGGGAUAACGUAGGGAAACUUACGCUAAUACCGCAUACGACCUACGGGUGAAAGCAGGGGAUCUUCGGACCUUGCGCAAUUGAAUGAGCCGAUGUCGGAUUAGCUAGUUGGCGGGGUAAAGGCCCACCAAGGCGACGAUCCGUAGCUGGUCUGAGAGGAUGAUCAGCCACACUGGAACUGAGACACGGUCCAGACUCCUACGGGAGGCAGCAGUGGGGAAUAUUGGACAAUGGGCGCAAGCCUGAUCCAGCCAUACCGCGUGGGUGAAGAAGGCCUUCGGGUUGUAAAGCCCUUUUGUUGGGAAAGAAAAGCAGCAGGUUAAUACCCCGCUGUUCUGACGGUACCCAAAGAAUAAGCACCGGCUAACUUCGUG